This 1245-nucleotide ribosomal RNA is filed under the name metagenome. RNAcentral's name for it is "bacterial LSU rRNA". It matches the Rfam family "Bacterial large subunit ribosomal RNA", at positions 1564 to 2818 of the family's 2925-position model. The record is from RNAcentral.
UGAAUACGAGACGCUAAGGCGUCGAAGUAGUGUAUGUCAUACUUCCAAGAAAAGCUUGCACUGUCAUAGAUGAAAAACGCCUGUACCAUAACCGACACAGGUGGGUAGGUAGAGUAUACUAAGGGGCGCGAGAUAACUCUCUCUAAGGAACUCGGCAAAAUAACUCCGUAACUUCGGGAGAAGGAGUGCCUUAUUCGUAAGGUUGCAAUAACAAGAUCCAAGCAACUGUUUAUCAAAAACACAGGUCUCCGCUAAGUCGUAAGACGAUGUAUGGGGGCUGACGCCUGCCCAGUGCCAGAAGGUUAAAGAAGUUGGUUAGCAAUUGCGAAGCUGAUAACUGAAGCCCUGGUGAACGGCGGCCGUAACUAUAACGGUCCUAAGGUAGCGAAAUUCCUUGUCGGGUAAGUUCCGACCCGCACGAAAGGCGUAAUGAUUUGGAUACUGUCUCGGAGAGGGGCUCGGUGAAAUAGACUUGUCUGUGAAGAUGCGGACUACCUGCACCAGGACAGAAAGACCCUAUGAAGCUUUACUGUAACUUGAAAUUGAAAUUGGACUUUAUUCGCGCAGUAUAGGUGGGAGGCGUUGAUUAUAAUCUUGUGGGAUUAUUGGAGCCAUCAGUGAGAUACCACUCUUGUAAUGUUAGAUUUCUAACUUUGAAUCAUUAUCUGGUCAAAGAACAGUUUCAGGCGGGCAGUUUGACUGGGGCGGUCGCCUCCUAAACGGUAACGGAGGCGUACAAAGGUUUCCUCUGAACGGUUAGAAAUCGUAUCUAGAGUGUAAAGGCAUAAGGAAGCUUGACUGUGAGACCUACAAGUCGAGCAGGGACGAAAGUCGGUCUUAGUGAUCUGACGGUACUGAGUGGAAAGGCCGUCACUCAACGGAUAAAAGUUACUCUAAGGAUAACAGGCUGAUCUCCCCCAAGAGUUCACAUCGACGGGGAGGUUUGGCACCUCGAUGUCGGCUCAUCGCAUCCUGGGGCGGUAGUACGUCCCAAGGGUUGGGCUGUUCGCCCAUGAAAGCGGUACGCGAGCUGGGUUCAGAACGUCGUGAGACAGUUCGGUCCAUAUCCGGUGUAGGCGUUAGAACAUUGAGAGGAGCCUUCUUUAGUACGAGAGGACCGAGAAGGACAUACCUCUGGUGUACCAGUUAUCGUGCCAACGGUAAACGCUGGGUAGCUAUGUAUGGAGUGGAUAACCGCUGAAAGCAUCUAAGUGGGAAGCCCACCUCAAGAUAAGUAUUCUCAUC